RNAcentral lists this unclassified non-coding RNA (378 nucleotides) under plant metagenome. RNAcentral describes it as "partial contains 5.8S ribosomal RNA, internal transcribed spacer 2, and large subunit ribosomal RNA". The stretch from base 1 to 105 matches the Rfam family "5.8S ribosomal RNA", at positions 50 to 154 of the family's 154-position model. The record is from RNAcentral.
GAAAUGCGAUAAGUAAUGUGAAUUGCAGAAUUCAGUGAAUCAUCGAAUCUUUGAACACACCUUGCGCUCCUUGGUAUUCCUUGGAGCAUGCCUGUUUGAGUAUCAUGAAAUCUUCAAAGUAAAUCUUUUGUUAACUCAAUUGGUUUCUACUUUGGUAUUGGAGGUCUUUGCAGCUUCACACCUGCUCCUCUUUGUUCAUUAGCUGGAUCUCAGUGUUAUGCUUGGUUCCACUCGGCGUGAUAAGUUAUCUAUCGCUGAGGACACUGUAAAAGGUGGCCAAGGUAAAUGCAGAUGAGCCGCUUCUAAUAGUCCAUUGACUUGGACAAUACUUUUAUGAUCUGAUCUCAAAUCAGGUAGGACUACCCGCUGAACUUAAGC